This 490-nucleotide ribosomal RNA is filed under the name uncultured bacterium. Its description in RNAcentral is "partial 16S ribosomal RNA". It matches the Rfam family "Bacterial small subunit ribosomal RNA", at positions 30 to 507 of the family's 1533-position model. The record is from RNAcentral.
AUUGAACGCUGGCGGCAGGCCUAACACAUGCAAGUCGAAUGGUAACAGGAAACAGCUUGCUGUUUCGCUGACGAGUGGCGGACGGGUGAGUAAUGUCUGGGAAACUGCCUGAUUGAGGGGGAUAACUACUGGAAACGGUAGCUAAUACCGCAUAACGUCGCAAGACCAAAGAGGGGGACCUUCGGGCCUCUUGCCAUCAGAUGUGCCCAGAUGGGAUUAGCUAGUAGGUGGGGUAACGGCUCACCUAGGCGACGAUCCCUAGCUGGUCUGAGAGGAUGACCAGCCACACUGGAACUGAGACACGGUCCAGACUCCUACGGGAGGCAGCAGUGGGGAAUAUUGGACAAUGGGCGCAAGCCUGAUGCAGCCAUGCCGCGUGUAUGAAGAAGGCCUUCGGGUUGUAAAGUACUUUCAGCGGGGAGGAAGGGCGUAAAGUUAAUACCUUUGCUCAUUGACGUUACCCGCAGAAGAAGCACCGGCUAACUCCGUG